Long non-coding RNA from Oreochromis aureus, 313 nucleotides. Lineage: Eukaryota; Metazoa; Chordata; Actinopteri; Cichliformes; Cichlidae. The record is from Ensembl.
GCCACCUAGUGGGACGACUAUAAUAAUGAUUGAAUGAGAUGAAAUGUUAGCUGGUGGUUAAAUGCAUGAAUUCCAUCAAUGUGACAUCACAUCGGACGUGCUGGUUUUAGGUGUUGGGCGUGGCUCGACACGCCAGGGUGCGAGGGCCCUCAUAUCGCUGCUUGCAGCUUUAAUUAGGGCCCGAGCACCGAGAGUGCGAAGGCCCUAUUGUAUCUGCUCCGUUUCUUAUUAUUAUUAUUAUUAUUAUUAUUAUUCAGGCAAAACAAGGGCCUUUUUGAGGGCUUUAACAUGCUCGAAAACUCAUGAAAUUUUG